GGAGAAAUAAGAGCAGUUGGUCUAAGCUCGGCGGUUUAGAAAACCGUAGGCCCUAGUGGUGUGUGGGUUCGAGUCCCACUUUCUCCGCCG
Molecule: transfer RNA, 90 nt
Filed under: Spirochaetota bacterium
Lineage: Bacteria; Pseudomonadati; Spirochaetota
Description: Spirochaetes bacterium tRNA-Ser
Rfam family: tRNA
About the family: Transfer RNA (tRNA) molecules are approximately 80 nucleotides in length.
Source: RNAcentral